GCCCGAUUAACUCAGUUGGCUAGAGUGUCAGACUUUUAAUCUGAACGUCGGGGUUCGAGCCCCCCAUCGGGCG
Non-coding RNA from Aspergillus novofumigatus IBT 16806, 73 nucleotides. The record is from the annotation of a RefSeq genome assembly. Lineage: Eukaryota; Fungi; Ascomycota; Eurotiomycetes; Eurotiales; Aspergillaceae.